AUUGAACGCUGGCGGCAGGCCUAACACAUGCAAGUCGAACGGUAACAGGAAACAGCUUGCUGUUUCGCUGACGAGUGGCGGACGGGUGAGUAAUGUCUGGGAAACUUCCUGAUGGAGGGGGAUAACUACUGGAAACGGUAGCUACUACCGCAUAACGUCGCAAGACCAAAGAGGGGGACCUUCUGGCCUCUUGCCAUCGGAUGUGCCCAGAUGGGAUUAGCUAGUAGGUGGGGUAACGGCUCACCUAGGCGACGAUCCCUAGCUGGUCUGAGAGGAUGACCAGCAACACGGGAAAUGAGAAACGGCACAAACCCCCAGGGGAGGCAGGAGUGGGGAAUAUUGAAAAAGGGGAGAAAGCCGGAGGCAGCCAGGCCGGGGGAAAGAAGAAGGCCUUGGGGUUGAAAAGUAUUUUGAGGGGGGAGGAAGGGAAAAAAGUUAAAACCUUUACAAAUGAACGUUCCCCGCAAAAGAAACACGGGAAAACCCGGG
This 489-nucleotide ribosomal RNA is filed under the name uncultured bacterium. RNAcentral's name for it is "partial 16S ribosomal RNA". It matches the Rfam family "Bacterial small subunit ribosomal RNA", at positions 29 to 506 of the family's 1533-position model. The record is from RNAcentral.